Molecule: long non-coding RNA, 329 nt
Filed under: Equus caballus (horse)
Lineage: Eukaryota; Metazoa; Chordata; Mammalia; Perissodactyla; Equidae
Description: lncRNA (ENSECAG00000041459.2)
Source: RNAcentral
CAGCUUGGCUCCAGGACUAUAGUUGGGUUCACAAAUGUGGCUGUGUCAGGAUCACUCAGAGAGAAAUUCGGAUACACAUUCCCUGCCUUCGACCUUUUGACUCAGUCCUUCGGAGAUUCUGCACAAGGGCCUGAGGAUCUGGGUUUUUAAAGUUCCUCAGGUGCUUCUGAUGAUUACCAGGGUGGAGAACUACUUCUCUACCAGGUGGAAUGAAGGAGGGGGAGUGGUCUGCAACAUAGAAGGGAAACAAGGAGAAGGUGUCGGAGAGACCAAGAGGCAAGCCGGCUGAAGACCGCCUGCCAUCGGCAUAUCGCACUGCAGAGGAAUAG